Molecule: RNA transcript, 9909 nt
Organism: Strigops habroptila (Kakapo)
Lineage: Eukaryota; Metazoa; Chordata; Aves; Psittaciformes; Psittacidae
Gene: MAP3K19
Gene name: mitogen-activated protein kinase kinase kinase 19
Exons: 10
Source: RefSeq, a predicted model, not a curated record
CCUCAGCAACAUCGUGUAAACUCAACAGCCCCGUGUAGCAGGAGCUGCCCGGAGAAUGUGCCUGCUGAAGAGCCGGCUUCAUUAAUAAGGACUACGUGCUCUGCAGUCAGAAAAACAUGCCGAAACAAAAUCAAGCUAUAUGUAAUAACUGUCUGAAUUCCUUGCUGUCCAGCAAAGGAAGACAGCGGUUAGCUAAAAAUGCUCUGUAACUUCUCUUUGGGUUGCUGUGCCUCUUUCACACUUCACUACUGAAGCGCCAGGUUUCCAGACCUUUAUACAUUUAAGGACAGUAUGUCUGACAACCAACAAAAUCAGAAGAGAAGCAAAGAAGAUUGUGGAAUUGGUGUUGCUCUUGAGAAUGCAGAGAAGAUAACGAAACAAAUGCAUCGGUCAUACAAAGCUCUGGGAAAAAACAGACAAACAGCACCAACAUCCAGUCCAUGGCCGGAUCAACAAGUGGCAUAUUUUCCAAGUAAUAAUCAGUUAGCAUUACAGAUGAGACAUCACACUUCUUUACCUUUCUUCCUGAAGAAAGAGAAUGUAGUGUAUGGCUUUGACUUCAGCGUUCUGCUACAGGCCUCAUGCCCAGAAUCUAAUGUUUCGAAAUCAUUUAUGGGUUUAAACGCUUUCCAGAUAAUAAAAGCAGAAAUACAACAAAGGUUAAAUAUAGCAAUGCUAAAACCCAGGAACAACAGCUCUAAGUUUCAUUUGCCACCAGUGAUGUGUCAGCCUGUAAGAACAAUUCGUCCUGCUCCUCUAGAGGAUAAUAUUGUCAAUGAAAGCCCCCACAUCAGAAAUAUUUUGAAUAUAAUGAACUCUAUUCCUUGGCCUAUCAAAGCAGUUACUAAAUGUUAUCAUUAUCAGUUAGACAAUCUAUUAAAAAGGCACACUGAAAAGUCAUCAGACCUGAUUGUGGCUACUAUUUCUGAUGAGUUCACCCCAGUGAAAGACCUGUACUACUUCAGCAUGAGCAACUAUUACAAGUACCCUAGCAACAAGAAAGAAGAAAUUCAAAGCAAUUUAAAAUGGAGGGAAGCUGAUGUAGCAACCCAUACUGAAAAGAAUGACCACAUGAAGUACCAGCCUUUGGUGGCUUGUAAGAACAUAGAUCUUAUGACCCGAGACAGUUUCUAUGAUGAUAGUCAUCCCUACUUGAGCUCAAGUAAUGCUCUGAUAAACUGUGGAAUAUUUACAGCUCAGACAACAUUUGCAAUGUCAAGCAACAGAGAUGCCUCGAGAGCUGGCAAUGAGGAAGGAAGAACAGAGAGUUACUGUAGAUCUGGUCCAGAAGAAGGAAAUGCUGCAGAGGUGAUAGUGGAUUACAGACGAUGUGAAGAUGCUGAGAGUGCGAGCUUUAUGCUUGACAAUCGUGAUUUAGAUUCUUCCUGUAAAAACGAAGUGAUAGAGGCCUACUGUGCCUUAAAAGAUAAUUCUGUAGCUGCAGGAAUUCCCAGAGUAGAAGUGCAAGUUCCUUCUGGAAAACAGACAGAAAAUAAUGUUUGUGUCUCUGAAUUUGAAAUGGAAAAAGAAGUGUUGUCAGAAGCAACUGCAGAAGACCAAAGUGAGCUUGUACCUGUUGUUCAUGUUACAUUCUCUGAACAAGAACCAGCUAGAGAACCACACAUUGUUAAACAACCUCCCACAAAAAAGAGUGUCAUUCGUAGCCUGCCUCCUCAUGUUACUCAGAGUUUCAACAUUCUUGCUCACAAAGAAAAUGGCAGAAGUAAAAUAAAGGUGAAUAAAACCAAAUAUUCAUCAAAAUCUAAGAUGAGUAGCAAGAUAAAGAUUUCUGAAGACUUAAUUGUUUCUGAUGAGAUUUCCACAAAACGUAAUGCCAAGAGUCACAUUUUUCCAUCUUUGGAACUGCCACACAUGGAAUCUGAGACUUCCCCAAAGCGUCAAAAAAACCCGUCUCAUGCUAACAAAGACCAUUUUGCUCAGAGUGCUCAAAAACUUCAAAAGCAAAGUUUCUCCUGCAGUUGCAACAAUUCAGUUAUCUUAAAGAAACCUGUUACUCCCCUUUCUCUACCACAGGCACAGUCUGCUUCAGCUUUUGUAGAUCUGAAAUACAGCGACAUGUUCAAGAAAAUAAAUUCAAACGAUAAAGGCCCGGGUAUUUAUGAAAUGUUUGGAACUCCUGUCUAUGACCACAUGCGCAAGCUUGAUCAACAUGAGAACAGAUUUUACAGAGAUGUUCGUUCUGCUCCAACUGGGAGAUGCACUGCUAGCAUCUGCAGAUCUACCUGUGGGAAAGAGAGAGAGAGCAGCCGAGCAAGAAAUACUCAAAAGAGAACAUGUUCUAAGCCAAAGAAGACCAUACCUGGCACUAAACAAAAGCAGAAGGGUUUAAUUAAAAAGGACAGAAGCACCAAGUUGAGUGACAGCAACACAGAACAAGAUAAUGUAAUAACUUCUGAUUCAGAUGUUCAGAUGAACACUUCAAGGAGCAUGACAGUGCUUCAUGAAGACACAGAUCAUCAACUUAGAUUUUUAGGAGAGCUUUCCCAAUCAAAUGAGCAAAAUAAAUUUUUUUCAAAUUCAAACUUAUCAACUAUUAAAGAAGUUUCUUUGGAGCAGCCUUUAGACAGCCAGGAUAUAUCCAGCCAUCAGAGAGCUGCUACCUGUAGCCAGAAUCUUCUGCAGUUCAGUGAUAAAGACUACAGAGACUGUGUUCCUCUAAGUAGCAGUCCACUAACAACAGACAAGAACAUUUGUGUACCCCAGUGCAGGGUGGAUAUGGAUGGCUGCAAAGGCCUGGAGUCAGACCAGGCCUCCUUCAAGUCUAUAAAUAAACGUGAAGCAUUGCCCUUUUUACAUAGGCUGGAAUGUCAGUCCCCUCCAACACAGGUAAAUCAGAGUUGGGCAUACACACCUCAAAACUGUGGUUUGGCGAAUGAAUUGACUCAGCCUUCAGUGAUUCAGACAAAAAGUGUUACAAGCCUCAGUUUCCAGACAAGUCAAAACAUUCUGUCGUGGACAGAUAAUGAGGAUGUGACUGAUGAGUUGCUUUAUUGUCUGGCUGAAGAAUUGCUAAUGCUUGAAGGAAACGACAUCAACUCUCCAAGAACAAAAAAUACAAGUUCUAAAAUGCAAAAUAUGCAUACUAAAGAAGAAGAAAAUAUGAUGAAUGGAGAUGGAGCAAUAGUAAAUAGUGCUCUAGAGAAGAGUAACAGUAAAGCCUUUUUGGCACCAAAUGAAGAAAAUGAUCUGCUAAGCGUUGAGGAAUCUACUAAAUUACCAGGAAGCAGUUUAACUAACAAAGAUCCUAUCAUGUGGACAAGAGGUGAAGUCCUUGGAAAGGGAGCCUAUGGCACAGUAUACUGUGGCCUGACAAGCCAGGGACAACUAAUAGCUGUAAAACAGGUUGUUUUGGAUACAUCAGAUCAAGUCACUACAGAAAAGGAGUAUCAGAAGUUUCAUGAGGAAGUUGACCUUUUGAAGACAUUGAAGCACAUCAAUAUUGUAACUUAUUUAGGAACUUGUCUGGAAGACAACAUUUUAAGCAUUUUCAUGGAAUUCGUUCCUGGUGGCUCAAUUUCUAGUAUUAUUCAUCGUUUUGGUCCAUUGCCUGAAAUUGUCCUUUGUAAAUAUACAAAGCAAAUUCUACAAGGAGUUGCAUACUUACAUGACAAUUGUGUGGUACACAGAGAUAUCAAAGGCAAUAAUGUUAUGCUCAUGCCAAAUGGUAUAGUAAAGCUAAUUGACUUUGGCUGUGCCCGGAGGUUAGCUUGGGUAAGCCUCAGUGGCACCCAGAGUGAGAUGCUCAAGUCUGUGCAUGGGACUCCAUACUGGAUGGCACCAGAGGUUAUAAAUGAAUCUGGAUAUGGAAGAAAAUCAGACAUCUGGAGCAUCGGCUGCACUGUGUUUGAGAUGGCAACAGGAAAACCACCACUGGCUUCCAUGGACAGGAUAGCAGCCAUGUUCUAUAUUGGGGCCCACAGAGGACUGAUGCCUUCCCUACCUGAUCGAUUCUCUGGCACUGCAGUGGAUUUUGUGCAUGCAUGCUUAACCAGAGACCAACACGAACGCCCUUCUGCUCUGCAGUUGCUGGACCACCCCUUUGUGAAAGGAAGACAGUGAAUUUUUCAAACCUCUUACCAAAUGAGUGUGCAUUUCCAUAUAAAAGUAUCUACUUGGGAAAAAAAAUAAGAAGGAGCUGGACUUCAAAGUGACAACAGAAUUUACUGGAGAGCAAUUGUGCACAAGGAGUCCAUUAUUAGACAGCAGAAUGACUAAAGUAAUGUUUUCUGCACUGUCUGUGCUCAUUGGAGUGGGCAUUGGAGUGUGAACACAGGGCCACGUUCGUUGUAUUUGGAGAGACUUUAAGAGAAAAAAAACCACGCAUCACCAUCACCAGUAUGUGACAAGCGAGGUCACAGAAUGGUUGAGGUUGGCAGGAACCUCUCGAGAUGCUCUAGUCCAGUCCCACUGCUCAGAGCAGGGUUGACUGAAGGAGGUUGCUCAGUUCCUUGUCUCAUUGGCUUUGAAAGGAUGGAGACCCCACAGCCUCUCUGGUCGACAUGUUCUUCAACCACCCUUACAGUAAGAACAUUUUUAUGUUUGAACAGACCGUCUUGUAUGGCAGGUUGUGCCCAUUGCCUCUCACCCUGACACUGAAGAAUUUGGCUUUGUCUUUCUUGCUGCCCCAUCAGGUGUUGAGACACAUCAAUACAUAUUCCCCCUGAACCUAUUAUUUUCUCAUGGAGUGCCUUAUUUUCUGUGCUCAGAGUGAUGUGUUGUAAUUCUCACCCUUCUGUUUGCUGAUACAGAGCAACAGAAGCACAGGAGCAUUGUCUUUCUUGUGUUUGUGAAGGCCAUGAGAUGCCGUUUGACUCGCUAGCCAGUCUACUGCUAUUUUUCAAUAUCCUUAAUCUGAAGUAGAACAGCAAACUUGAACUGUUUUGAGAAACACGGGAGCGAGCAUGAUGUAAGUAGGCAACCCAGCAGUCUCCAUCUGCACUGCGGAAAUAAUUUUUACAGUUAGUACAACUAGCUACCACCUGCACAAGAUCAAAUAGAGUUUGAAGAUUAUUAUAUAUUAAUAAACAAAAAAAAUUAUCAGGUGUUAGUAUUUGCAUUGUCCUCAUUCUGAUAAGGCUUCUCCCUGAGUAGCUUUCAAAUUUAAAAUUUCAGGGGAAUGAGACACUGUAGAAACCCAAAAUGGGUUUUACCGCAUCAAAACGCGGUGAACCUUAUUCCUCUCUGAGCACCCAGGCUCAGGAAGAGACACAGUGGAGCCCAGUUCUACAACUGACCCAUAUAAAAUCAACGUUCCCCAGACCACUCAACAUUUUAGUUACUUAAAUAGUUUUCAAACGUUAUUUUAUCCCAGUAGCCUGACUUCGGAGAGCUGGCCUAUAUUUAUAAAACCAACGAGCAAUCAGUACUUCUAGCAAAAGUCUUUAUUAAUAGUUUGUUUAGGUAUGAUGUCACAUAACAACGACAGAACAUGGUGCAGUAUAAGAGAAAUCCAAACAUCACAGUCAUCUUCCAAGUUCAAACAGUUAACAGGCCCUUUCUGAGGAGCACAGGUUGGUCUGCAUGCCAAAAAUCCAUGGCCACAUCACAUUAAAAUAUCUUGCAGACUAACUAAGAAUGGAAGUCCUGGCAUAUGAACUCAGGUGGGAUGUACAUAAUUCCAUGAUGCAUAUUAAUUCUUCUAGAUUAAGUUGGUGUCUCCAACAAAGCUGCAGAGUAAAUGAGUUUUUAUUUAGCAUGAAAGGGAGAUGAUGGUCAUAUGCAGGGAAAGAAUAGGAAUGCUCUAGGAUAUACAGGUAAUUAAAAAAAGUCAGAAUUACAACCUCCCCUCCUUAUGCACGUGUCUUAAAAUCAAAACUACUAUCUUUUGGUAGAGUUUUCCAAUACUAAGGUUAUUAGGUAUUUGCAAUUUAAAUGUAAUGGCUAAUUCAGCUAAUUACACUAAAAUCAGUCUCCCACAUAAAGGUUUGUAAAACUUUAACCUGAGUUUUUAAUCAAAAUGUGAUAGCACAGUUUUACUUUUGUUUAACCAGACUUAGAGAAUGAGGGGGUUGUUUAAGGCCAGCACUUGCAACAAAGGUAUUUCGUCUUAAUCACACUGGAGAAGUGGGGAGUUGUGACUGCAUCCCAGUCCUGUGCUCAGCACAGCUAACCAAGGAGUAUGUUGGGUUAGGGUGCCUUGGGGCGCUAGGCCGAGCCCAGCCUGGUAGGACAUUCUGCAAACAAGUCUAACAUUGCAUGUUUCUUACUUCGUAUUAUAGAUUUUCACAUUAAACCCCAGAUAAUUCAGAUACCUCUAACAAAGUAUCUACUGUAAAAGGGGACAGGGUGAGAAACCUUAAAAACCUUCUCAAAACCCUUUAUUGUCACUGACAGGUGACUCGGUGAGGAGGGUCACACUUCUUGCUCAAUUAUUUAUGCUACGUGAGCAGGGCAAGGCCUACUGGUUUAAAAAGUAGUUUCAUUGCUAAAAACAGUGAAGAAGUUUGCAAGCUGCCAAGUAGCAUGCGUGACCACACUGCUGUGAUACCAGGUUUCCGCAAGAUUUGGAAUUUGAAUUUGAGAACCUGAAAAUACACUAUCCUCUUAUCACUGUAGGCAAUACCUGGUAUUCCUUUUACACAGAAGUAUUUUAAGCUUUGAGCUAUUGGCUCAAAUCUUAGGAAAAGGGGGGGGUUCUCAGGCAUGCCAACCCCGCUGUUUUACACUGGUCCUGAAACUACAAACAGGAAUAGAAUGUAAAAAUCUGCAUCUCAAAAUACAUGCUUCAGCCUUUCUUCUCAAGGAAGCAGACACUGAGCCCAGAAACCUGUCUUUUGAGACUAUUUAGGGUCAAAAUUGGUGCUUUUUCACAAAGUUCAGCAGGAACUGAUGCUGUUUUCUACACACCACGCCCCCCCCCCCCCCCAGCAAAACUCUGGUUCUUGCACGUAAGUAACAAAGAACAAGAGUUCUCCUGAGAAAGGGCUUCCUGUACACACAGGGGAGUGCCUUUUCUCCCCUACUUCCUGCUUUCCAAGAGGACCUGCACCAUGAGACGCCUUCAGAGAGGAAAUUUUAUAGGUGUUGCCAAAGAACACAACCUCGGAACUAUGGUAUCGUUGUAAGUGUGAGAAUAUAGAGGAAUCAAACUCAAGUAUAAAAAUGUCAAUGCUAAAAAUUUGAGUUUGCUGUAUGCACCUCAGACACCAGCGAAACAGCCACUCCCCGUAGCGGUGAGAGAAGACUCCUGCCAUCAACUUUUUCUUACAGGUGUAAGUAUUUCAGCAUUUCAGAGACAGGAGAAAUUAUUUAGCUACUCCAGUUUGGCAUAACUGCUGAGUCUGCCAAGACAUUUAUUUUAGAACUGAUUAUGGGAAUGUGCAUUUACACCCCAAUUAAAGCAAGCAAACAAUGGUUUGCUUGGUCCCCUUCACUGCAAACUAAAGGUUGGGAACCUUACCCCAAAGGCCUUACACAGAUCCUUGCUGUGCUCCUGUUGCCCACCCCCUUGCACCCCCUCCCCACUGCUAAAACAAUCAAAUAAUUAAAAGAAAUCACCGAGCAUGGCCAGCCACUAUACAAUAAUAGUACAGGGCAGAGGGAGGGAGCAGCUUAAGAUGGCAUAAAAUUUCAGGUAUCAAACACCUGGUCACCAUAACAUAUAGGAAGCAAAGGAAACUAAUUAGAAUUCAGACUUUCAAGCAUUCCACUAUUUGGUUUGAUGAAAACUAGUGAUGUUUUGCUAGUAACUGAGAAGGGAUCAUCUCUGUCUUUACAAAUGAGGUUGGAAAAUUAAACAUAGGAAAAUGGGAUCAUUUCUGCACAAUAGAGGUGAGGUAGGGAAUUUUAUUGAAAAUACUUUUUUUUUUUUUACAGUUCUUAGAAAUAAAGUUGCUUUUUCUAAUCUCACACAAACAGCUGUACCUCAAAAAUUCAACUAUGCUAAUAUGAAACAUUUACAUUUACAGUUAGCCAAAAGAAUAUACAGAACUGCCAUUGUAUGCAAAUACUGCAGUACCAGAUCACAGUGAGAUACAUUACUUCAGCACUCCCACCAUCAGGAACAGAUUAAGAUUCAACAUACGAAAGAAUCUCACUAUUCUACAAACCUCAUCUCUCACAAAAAGGGAAGAUUUUUAGUAGUGUUGUAGCGAGGUCUCCAACUACAGCGUCAGUUUACAAAUCACAUAAUGCAUGAACUCAAAUUUAUAACACAAACUAUCUGUGGUCGGUGGGGAACAGAGUCCGAGUGUUAUUACCCUUUUAUUGCAUUUACCCAGUUACGCGCCUGGGAGGCCGAGGCCCAGCCCAGCAGCCUGCGAUGCGCACGGUUCACUAUCGCAGGGGCAUCUUGGUGCAUGUCCUCGCCCUCCCUCUCAGCCCUGCGCUCAGCACACUGAACCGAGUCUCCGACACAGACACAUACAGUUUCACAUAUUUACAGCUACACUGAAACCCAAACACACCGAGUUUUAUGGAUGUCCUUUACAGAGAAACCAAAACCCACCAUUUGGAUCUCAGGGUAGCAAAGCAACAUUUUCUCCAUGAUAUUUCACAAUUUCCCAGAAUCAAAACUGGAAAUGUUUCAUUUGAAACAGCACCUUAGGAUGAAGGCCUAUGCUCUUUUCCAAUUUCUAUUAGAUAGGCACUAGUUACCAUCCAGACAUUUCAUCUCCAAGUUAUGACAGCAAUUGCUCUAUUUACAGUACAGUAUAUUGCUUAUCCAGAGUGGCUGUGUAAGACUCAUUUCAUGGCACAACCUAUUAACACAGACUCAAAAAGAAAGUACUGUAGUGCUUCAAAGAAAACAUAAGACAAUUUACUGCUAUUUCAUCUGUUUGCCUAUAGCUUAGGACAGUAUAACACACAGAUUUCAUUUGUUAAAGAUCAGACCCAAAAGUAGCACUGAAAUGGAAAGGAAACAGACUAUAAAAGGAUAGAAAAUAGUCACCAAUGCACAAAUAUGUAACGAGAAGUUCCAUUCCAAAUGUAGAAAAAUAACCAAGUUGGCAGGGAGAAAACAGCUUUGGAUUUUGUACAUGGGCCAGAAUUUAAGCUAAGAUUUAGCAGAAAAUGCAAUCAGGUUUCCAUUUAAAUAUUCCUUAAGUGUAAAAAAAGUAUCCAUAGUUCAAAUAAAACUUAUUCAAGUCAUUACAAGCGUUUGCAUUACUGGAAACAGAGUAUUACAUAGUAAUUGAUAUACCUGUAGUUACAGAAUACAGCAACUACCAAUCGGGUAGAUAUCAAACAGUUUUAUCCUUUAAAGCACGUGUGGGUAACAUAACUUCAGAUUUAACGUCCAAGACUUACAGAAUUACACAAGCACUAAGGGAAUGAGGUGGCUUCACAAAAGUUUACUUCAUGUCCUGGUCACUUCAAAGUCAAAAGAAGUCACUGAAAACCGGCUGUUGCUACUAUAUACUGAGUUCACGUUGAGGUACUUCAGAGCUUACAGAUAGGUUUGAGGAACAACCCAGCGAGUCAGUUCACUGUUCUCCAGGCGACUGAGCUGUAGUAUUGGCUUUGAGAACACAAGAACAUUCACACCUGUCAUUUCUUCUGAGGAACAUAACACCCUGGAGAGAGCGCACAGACCCUUCCAGGCAGACAACAUGGAGGCCAGUGGUUCCACUGGGAGACUGACUGGUUUUUUUGACCCCCUUAGAGCUGAAAAAACAAAACAAGUAUCUGCCAAUUUGGUAACUAAUGACAAGUACAAUGCACAGAAUCGAUAACUAUUUUAUUGUUGGAAUAUAAAGUUGGGAUAUCAAUAGUUUUAUUCUUAUGUACUGUGAAGACUGCAUUUACCUGUAAAAGAAAUGUGGCAUCACACACACGUACACUUUUUGGAUUUCAGAACAUGGGUACUAUUCUGAAGUGGUAAAGGAAACAGUGACCCCUGUUUGCUAUUAGAAUAAAUUAUGACCUUUUUUUUUUUUGAGAAAAGAA